RNAcentral lists this long non-coding RNA (968 nucleotides) under Vulpes vulpes (red fox). Its description in RNAcentral is "lncRNA (ENSVVUG00000012699.1)". The record is from RNAcentral. Lineage: Eukaryota; Metazoa; Chordata; Mammalia; Carnivora; Canidae.
CUCAGCGAGGUUCCAGGCAGGAAACGGGGGGCCAACUUUCCUGUCGCACAGACCUUCCCGCUGUCCUCGAGCAGCUCCCUCAGGGUCCCCCCCCUUACACGUCUGUGGGUUUGGGGGAGCAGGAGGGCACCGCAGUGUCUCCUCUCCCCGCUCCCAUUCUGCCCCAAGAGCAAGCAGCCUCCGGCCCGGGAACGCUCAGUUCCCCUCCCUCCCACUGCCGUCCCGUCGUGGCGACACAGCAGGGUGGUGGUAGGCCGAAGGGGACAGUGAGCUGUGCCAGGGCCGGUUGUGCCAUUUCUCUCAGUCCUUUUCUCUGAGCGGCUGCCGGAUUGCCAACUUGGAGCCCUUCUUCAGGGUGUGGGAGCCUCUGACGCUUCGGUGUCCGGCCGGGGGCUUUGCAGCGCGGGGCCCGCGGGAAGAGCACCCACGGCCGGUCCCCGCCUUCUUUCCUCGUCUCCACCGAACCUCUCUGGCUCUGCCCGCCCAGUUUCCAAAGGGAAAGGGCCGAGGUCUACAGCCGGUGGGACAGUUUUCCCCAAGGACGGUUCGGGCUUUUAUCCAUCUGCUGGUUUGAUAGUAAAUCAGAGUGGAAGCAUCAGCAGAGUCGAAGCUGACAUUCUCUCCCUGACUCCGCAUCGGACUGUGGUGUGCCCGGAUUGUGAUCUGGCCAAGCUCACUGGUCCACAGAAUAUGACUAGAGUGCAAGGGAGUUCAAGAACCUCUCGUGAUGUCUCCAUGUCUCCCUGGGGUCUGGAGUCUACAGUUUGGAAAUCAUUGCUGGAGUCUCUUGUAUCCUGAAUCCAGGCCCGGCUUUCUCUCAACAGUGCUGUCCAGAUGGAGAGCCACGGAAAGCUUUCAAACAGGGGAACCGUGAUGGAAAUAAUUAUUCCACGUCUAUUUCAGUGAGCCUCCUUUCAGUGUGCCUUUGUGUGUAGCUGACUCUAAUAAAGCAAAAAACUACAUUUCCC